RNAcentral lists this ribosomal RNA (466 nucleotides) under uncultured bacterium. RNAcentral's name for it is "partial 16S ribosomal RNA". It matches the Rfam family "Bacterial small subunit ribosomal RNA", at positions 28 to 507 of the family's 1533-position model. The record is from RNAcentral.
GAUGAACGCUGGCGGCGUGCUUAACACAUGCAAGUCGAACGGUGAAAGAGAGCUUGCUCUCUGGAUCAGUGGCGAACGGGUGAGUAACACGUGAGCAAUCUGCCCCUGACUCUGGGAUAAGCGCUGGAAACGGCGUCUAAUACCGGAUACGAGCUGCGAAGGCAUCUUCAGCAGCUGGAAAGAACUUCGGUCAGGGAUGAGCUCGCGGCCUAUCAGCUAGUUGGUGGGGUAACGGCUCACCAAGGCGUCGACGGGUAGCCGGCCUGAGAGGGUGACCGGCCACACUGGGACUGAGACACGGCCCAGACUCCUACGGGAGGCAGCAGUGGGGAAUAUUGCACAAUGGGCGAAAGCCUGAUGCAGCAACGCCGCGUGAGGGACGACGGCCUUCGGGUUGUAAACCUCUUUUAGCAGGGAAGAAGCGAAAGUGACGGUACCUGCAGAAAAAGCACCGGCUAACUACGUG